UGCAGUCGAGCGGACAGAUGGGAGCUUGCUCCCUGAUGUUAGCGGCGGACGGGUGAGUAACACGUGGGUAACCUGCCUGUAAGACUGGGAUAACUCCGGGAAACCGGGGCUAAUACCGGAUGGUUGUUUGAACCGCAUGGUUCAAACAUAAAAGGUGGCUUCGGCUACCACUUACAGAUGGACCCGCGGCGCAUUAGCUAGUUGGUGAGGUAAUGGCUCACCAAGGCUACGAUGCGUAGCCGACCUGAGAGGGUGAUCGGCCACACUGGGAC
Molecule: ribosomal RNA, 272 nt
Filed under: Bacillus sp. HPCAQM-8a
Lineage: Bacteria; Bacillati; Bacillota; Bacilli; Caryophanales; Bacillaceae
Description: partial 16S ribosomal RNA
Rfam family: Bacterial small subunit ribosomal RNA
Source: RNAcentral